UAGGGAAUCUUCGGCAAUGGACGGAAGUCUGACCGAGCAACGCCGCGUGAGUGAAGAAGGUUUUCGGAUCGUAAAGCUCUGUUGUUAGAGAAGAACGUUGGUAGGAGUGGAAAAUCUACCAAGUGACGGUAACUAACCAGAAAGGGACGGCUAACUACGUGCCAGCAGCCGCGGUAAUACGUAGGUCCCGAGCGUUGUCCGGAUUUAUUGGGCGUAAAGCGAGCGCAGGCGGUUCUUUAAGUCUGAAGUUAAAGGCAGUGGCUUAACCAUUGUACGCAUUGGAAACUGGAAGACUUGAGGGCAGAAGAGGAGAGUGGAAUUCCAUGUGUAGCGAUAAAAUGCGUAAAUAUAUGAAAGAACACCGGUGGCGAAAGCGGCUCUCUGGUCUGUAGCUGACGCGAAGGCUCGAAAGCGUGGGGAGCAAACAGG
This 429-nucleotide ribosomal RNA is filed under the name Bacillota bacterium. RNAcentral's name for it is "Firmicutes bacterium partial 16S ribosomal RNA". It matches the Rfam family "Bacterial small subunit ribosomal RNA", at positions 355 to 776 of the family's 1533-position model. The record is from RNAcentral. Lineage: Bacteria; Bacillati; Bacillota.